Molecule: microRNA precursor, 71 nt
Filed under: Chlorocebus sabaeus (green monkey)
Lineage: Eukaryota; Metazoa; Chordata; Mammalia; Primates; Cercopithecidae
Description: miRNA (ENSCSAG00000025459.1)
Source: RNAcentral
AGGGCAACCAACUAUCUUGGUUUGCCUGGGACUGAGGGGGUUCCCAGGAUGGACAGUCCUAGGUAAACUGG